Molecule: RNA transcript, 2550 nt
Organism: Bufo gargarizans (Asiatic toad)
Lineage: Eukaryota; Metazoa; Chordata; Amphibia; Anura; Bufonidae
Gene name: zinc finger protein OZF-like
Exons: 8
Source: RefSeq, a predicted model, not a curated record
UGUCGGCACUGUGUGCCAGGAUAUAAAGAGGAGGUGAGGCACGGGUACAAUGCUCUGCAGGACUGACAGCUCUGGCCACAGUGAGGUGCAAUGCUCUGUAGGACUGAGAUCUCUGGAGACGGUGAGGUGCAAUGCUCUGCAGGACUGGGGAAAUCACACAGAAGGUAGACGGCUUACCAGCACCAAUGAAGCAUUCUUCCAAACCAGUGACUGGUAGAGGACACCGGCCUUACAUACAGGACACCGGCCUUACAUACAGGACUCUCACAGAUAAAGUCUUCUUUGUAAGAUGAUGAUGAUCCUUUCUACCAGUGACCCACCAAGGAUGGAGAAGGACAGAUACCACGUGGCUACAAGGAUAAUAGACCUCGCCCUAGAGAUCAUCUCCUUGAUAACUGGAGAGGGUUACACAGUAGUGAAGAAGUCGUCUGCUAAGUGUGUGACACAUCGUGCGUCAAGAGGACGGAAAAAGACCCAGAGACCAGUCACCGAGCCUCCACCUCAUUCACUGAUACAUAAGCAGAAGAUCCUAGAACUUACCAACAGGAUCACUGACCUGCUGAGCGGAGAGGUUCCUGUAAGGUGUCAGGAUGUCGUUGUCUAUUUUUCCAUGGAGGAGUGGGAGUAUUUAGAAGGACACAAGGAUCUGUACAAGGACCUCAUAAUGGAGAAUCACGAGCCCCUCACAUCACCAGAUGGAUCCAGUCAGAGAAAUCCACCAGAGAGAUGUCCCAGUCCUCUGUAUUCCCAGGACUGUCCAGAGGAGAAGCAGAAUGUCCCACUGGUUAAUCAGGACGUCAUGAUGGAGAAUCACCAGCUCCUUACGUCGCCAGCAAGGUGACCUCAGUUUGGAUGGGAACCUUCUCUACUCAAUACCUAUCUCCAUGCUGUACGGGCAUCGAAAUUCAAGGAUAGCAGAACCCUCUACAAUUGGUGACGAACUUACAAGUGGCCCCGAUGGACAUCGGCAGUUAUCUGCCUGUUAUGAAGUACAAGAUAAUCAGCCACAAAUUAGCAAGACGAGAUUGGAUGAAAAUUUAGCAAGUUCUGAAAGUGGAAAACAUUUUAAAGAGAAAUCUCAUCUUUCCAUGCAUGAGAGAAUUCACAAAGAAGAGAACCCAUUUUCUAUAAAGCACAAUCUUGAGGCACAAAAAACUCACCCAGGGGAGAAGCCAUUUUCAUGUCCUGAAUGUAAGAAAUGUUUUGCCUAUAACUCACAUCUUAUGUGUCAUCUUAUCAGUCACACACGGGAGAAGCCUUUUCUGUGUCCAGAAUGCGGAAAAUAUUUUAGAAGUCAAGCCAAUCUUGUUGUACAUCAGAGAAGUCACACAGGAGAGAAGCCGUAUUCAUGCUCAGAAUGUGGAAGAUGUUUUGCCGAUAGAUCAGCUCUUGCUUAUCAUGUGAAAACUCACAGAGGGGAGAAGCCAUUUUCAUGUCCAGAGUGUGGAAAGUGUUUUUAUCAGGAAUCAAAUCUUGUGCAACAUCUAAGAAGUCACACAGGAGAGAAGCCAUUUUCAUGUUCUGAAUGUGGGAAAUUUUUUAACUGUAGAACGAGUGUUGCAAUACAUCAGAGAACUCACACAGGUGAGAAGCCAUUCUCAUGUCCUGAAUGUGGAAAGUGUUUUAGUCAGAAAUCAAAUCUUAAGGAACAUCUGAGAAUUCACACAGGGGAGAAGCCAUUUUCAUGUUCAGAAUGUGGGAAGUGUUUUAACUAUAAAUCAUGUCUUGUGAUACAUCAGAGAAGUCACACAGGAGAGACGCCGUUUUCAUGUUCAGAAUGUGGGAAAUAUUUUAAGUAUAGGUCACAUCUUGCUAAACAUCAGAGAACUCACACAGGGGAGAAAGCUAUUGUCAUGCCCUGAAUGUUGGAAACAUUUUAGUCAAAAAUCGGGUAUUGUUGAAAGAAUUAACACAGGAUAGAAGCCAUAUUCAUGUUCAGAAUGUGGAAAUGUUUUAUUAGUAAACCAGAUCUUGUUAAACAUCCAAGAAGUCACACAGGUGAGAAGCUAUUCUAAUGAUCAAAUUGUAGGAAUGUGGCAGGUAAGGAGCUCAAUUAUAGGACUUGCUGCCUAAGGAUGUCGUACUAUGUAAAUCUUUAGAGCGGUUGGCCCAUCUCCUACACUGGGGGCAUAUCGCUAGGAUAUGUCCCCAACGUCUGAUAGGUGCGGGUCACACCGCUGGGACCCGCACCUAUCUCUAAAAUGGAGCCUGCAAAGAAAGGGAGAUGUGCAUCUGCCUUCCAUUAAGUUCUUUGGGACUGGAAAAAAUAACCAAGCGGUGUAAUCGGCUGUUUUUGAAAGUCUCAUCGAAAUUAAAGGGAAGCGCUUCACACAAGUGCGCCCACCGCUCCAUUCACUUCUAUGGAGCUAAUGUAAAUGAGUGGACUCCAGCUGAAGCUGCUCAAUACAGAUUUUAGCAAAAUGGCUGGGUCAUUUCAAGUAAGUGACCCAGUAUUUUUUCUGGGGGUCUCUGUGACCAGUGUUUGCUUUCAUCGAACUAGUGACAAACUCUCUUUAAAAAUGGGGUGUGGACUUCCAUUGUAAGACUUGC